CCUCCCAAGAGAACAAAAUAAACAGAGGCCAAGAACUUGUAGAACUCCACGACAAAUAAGAACUUUUUCUUCGUCUUUUCCUCAUUCUUGUGACAUCAGGUUUCUUGCAGGUCUCCUGGAUAUGCUCCAGUUUCACCGUCUUAUAGUCAAGUGGCCAGUUCUGCCAAUGUGCUCUCAAAUGGGGAACGAGCAUUGAAUAAAUAAUUAUUGCAUGAUCAAUUAGCAUAUGUACCCUUUGCUCAAUAUCCACAAUUUGUUUCCUCCUUUUUCAAUAUCCAGGUGCUAACGGCCUUGGUAUUCCAAAGGCUCAACUUGAGGCCCAUUAGAUAUCUUUACAGCAACAAAUUGAGAACUCAGAGGCAAGGAAGUACAUAUUAAAUGAACUCAAUGGCACUGCGAGUAAACACCAAGCACGUAUGUUAUCAGUUUCGAUUUCUUCCAUCCUAUGCUUCUGUCAUUUUUUAUUUUUUUUGAUAUGAAAAAUACUUGCAUAUCUUUAGGUCGUGAAAUGUGACAUACAACUCAUAUGGAGUCGAAUUCUUUUGAUACUGCAAUUGAUUUAGCUGUGCCUACG
Long non-coding RNA from Solanum tuberosum (potato), 574 nucleotides. RefSeq lists it as uncharacterized. The record is from RefSeq and is a predicted model, not a curated record. Lineage: Eukaryota; Viridiplantae; Streptophyta; Magnoliopsida; Solanales; Solanaceae. The transcript is spliced from 3 exons.